CAGCAGCCGCGGUAAUACGAAGGGGGCUAGCGUUGCUCUGAAUCACUGGGCGUAAAGGGUGCGUAGGCGGGUCUUUAAGUCAGAGGUGAAAGCCUGGAGCUCAACUCCAGAACUGCCUUUGAUACUGGAGAUCUCGAGUUCGGGAGAGGUGAGUGGAACUGCGAGUGUAGAGGUGAAAUUCGUAGAUAUUCGCAAGAACACCAGUGGCGAAGGCGGCUCACUGGCCCGAUACUGACGCUGAGGCACGAAAGCGUGGGGAGCAAACAGGAUUAGAGACCCCCGUAGUCCCUGUCUCUUAUAC
This 301-nucleotide ribosomal RNA is filed under the name uncultured bacterium. RNAcentral's name for it is "partial 16S ribosomal RNA". It matches the Rfam family "Bacterial small subunit ribosomal RNA", at positions 509 to 807 of the family's 1533-position model. The record is from RNAcentral.